Molecule: ribosomal RNA, 626 nt
Filed under: uncultured bacterium
Lineage: Bacteria
Description: bacterial SSU rRNA
Rfam family: Bacterial small subunit ribosomal RNA
Source: RNAcentral
AACGGAGCACCCCUGAAGGAGUUUUCGGACAACGGAUGGGAAUGCUUAGUGGCGGACUGGUGAGUAACGCGUGAGGAACCUGCCUUCCAGAGGGGGACAACAGUUGGAAACGACUGCUAAUACCGCAUGAUGCGUUGGAGCCGCAUGACUCUGACGUCAAAGAUUUAUCGCUGGAAGAUGGCCUCGCGUCUGAUUAGCUAGUUGGUGAGGUAACGGCCCACCAAGGCGACGAUCAGUAGCCGGACUGAGAGGUUGGCCGGCCACAUUGGGACUGAGAUACGGCCCAGACUCCUACGGGAGGCAGCAGUGGGGAAUAUUGGGCAAUGGACGCAAGUCUGACCCAGCAACGCCGCGUGAAGGAAGAAGGCUUUCGGGUUGUAAACUUCUUUUAAGGGGGAAGAGCAGAAGACGGUACCCCUUGAAUAAGCCACGGCUAACUACGUGCCAGCAGCCGCGGUAAUACGUAGGUGGCAAGCGUUGUCCGGAUUUACUGGGUGUAAAGGGCGUGCAGCCGGAGAGACAAGUCAGAUGUGAAAUCCACGGGCUCAACCCGUGAACUGCAUUUGAAACUGUUUCCCUUGAGUGUCGGAGAGGUAAUCGGAAUUCCUUGUGUAGCGGUGAAAUGC